Molecule: ribosomal RNA, 948 nt
Filed under: Salmonella enterica
Lineage: Bacteria; Pseudomonadati; Pseudomonadota; Gammaproteobacteria; Enterobacterales; Enterobacteriaceae
Description: partial 23S ribosomal RNA
Rfam family: Bacterial large subunit ribosomal RNA
Source: RNAcentral
AGACCCGAAACCCGGUGAUCUAGCCAUGGGCAGGUUGAAGGUUGGGUAACACUAACUGGAGGACCGAACCGACUAAUGUUGAAAAAUUAGCGGAUGACCUGUGGCUGGGGGUGAAAGGCCAAUCAAACCGGGAGAUAGCUGGUUCUCCCCGAAAGCUAUUUAGGUAGCGCCUCGUGAAUUCAUCUCCGGGGGUAGAGCACUGUUUCGGCUAGGGGGCCAUCCCGGCUUACCAACCCGAUGCAAACUGCGAAUACCGGAGAAUGUUAUCACGGGAGACACACGGCGGGUGCUAACGUCCGUCGUGAAGAGGGAAACAACCCAGACCGCCAGCUAAGGUCCCAAAGUCAUGGUUAAGUGGGAAACGAUGUGGGAAGGCCCAGACAGCCAGGAUGUUGGCUUAGAAGCAGCCAUCAUUUAAAGAAAGCGUAAUAGCUCACUGGUCGAGUCGGCCUGCGCGGAAGAUGUAACGGGGCUAAACCAUGCACCGAAGCUGCGGCAGCGAACGUAUCACUUAAAGCGAUUCAGCGGGUUACGAUUGACGGAGCGAAGCGACGUCAAAGCGUAUACAAAGUCGAGUCGGUUUAAGGAUACGUUCGUUGGGUAGGGGAGCGUUCUGUAAGCCUGUGAAGGUGUGUCGUGAGGCAUGCUGGAGGUAUCAGAAGUGCGAAUGCUGACAUAAGUAACGAUAAAGCGGGUGAAAAGCCCGCUCGCCGGAAGACCAAGGGUUCCUGUCCAACGUUAAUCGGGGCAGGGUGAGUCGACCCCUAAGGCGAGGCCGAAAGGCGUAGUCGAUGGGAAACGGGUUAAUAUUCCCGUACUUGGUGUUACUGCGAAGGGGGGACGGAGAAGGCUAUGUUGGCCGGGCGACGGUUGUCCCGGUUUAAGCGUGUAGGCUGGUUUUCCAGGCAAAUCCGGAAAAUCAAGGCUGAGGCGUGAUGACGAGGCACU